RNAcentral lists this ribosomal RNA (497 nucleotides) under uncultured bacterium. RNAcentral describes it as "partial 16S ribosomal RNA". It matches the Rfam family "Bacterial small subunit ribosomal RNA", at positions 28 to 507 of the family's 1533-position model. The record is from RNAcentral.
GAUGAACGCUGGCGGCGUGCCUAAUACAUGCAAGUCGAGCGAACGGACGAGAAGCUUGCUUCUCUGAUGUUAGCGGCGGACGGGUGAGUAACACGUGGAUAACCUACCUAUAAGACUGGGAUAACUUCGGGAAACCGUAGCUAAUACCGGAUAAUAUUUUGAACCGCAUGGUUCAAAAGUGAAAGACGGUCUUGCUGUCACUUAUAGAUGGAUCCGCGCUGCAUUAGCUAGUUGGUAAGGUAACGGCUUACCAAGGCAACGAUGCAUAGCCGACCUGAGAGGGUGAUAGGCCACACUGGAACUGAGACACGGUCAAGACUCCUACGGGAGGCAGCAGUAGGGAAUCUUACGCAAAGGGCGAAAGCAUGACGGAGCAACGGCGCGUGAGUGAUGAAGGUCUUCGGAUCGUAAAAAUCUGUUAUUAGGGAAGAACAUAUGUGUAAGUAACUGUGCACAUCUUGACGGUAACUAAUCAGAAAGCCACGGCUAACUACGUG